This 427-nucleotide ribosomal RNA is filed under the name uncultured bacterium. RNAcentral describes it as "partial 16S ribosomal RNA". It matches the Rfam family "Bacterial small subunit ribosomal RNA", at positions 355 to 774 of the family's 1533-position model. The record is from RNAcentral.
UGGGGAAUAUUGCACAAUGGGCGCAAGCCCGAUGCAGCCAUGCCGCGUGUAUGAAGAAGGCCUUCGGGUUGUAAAGUACUUUCAGCGGGGAGGAAGGCGAUGUGGUUAAUAACCGCGUCGAUUGACGUUACCCGCAGAAGAAGCACCGGCUAACUCCGUGCCAGCAGCCGCGGUAAUACGGAGGGUGCAAGCGUUAAUCGGAAUUACUGGGCGUAAAGCGCACGCAGGCGGUCUGUCAAGUCGGAUGUGAAAUCCCCGGGCUCAACCUGGGAACUGCAUCCGAAACUGGCAGGCUUGAGUCUCGUAGAGGGGGGUAGAAUUCCAGGUGUAGCGGUGAAAUGCGUAGAGAUCUGGAGGAAUACCGGUGGCGAAGGCGGCCCCCUGGACGAAGACUGACGCUCAGGUGCGAAAGCGUGGGGAGCAAACA